CUCCUCACCUUCCAAUAGUUAUAACUCUUCUCCUCUUCUUUAAUGUCUCCCUUUUCACCUUCCAACAGCCCGACCUUCUCUCUAUUAAUUAUUGUAAUUAAUUAAUAAUUAAUUUUUUCUUCCCCCUCUAUCUCUAUUAAUCUCUUCCUCCUUCUACUUUUGCUAAACCUCUUUCACCCUCUCCCUCUCCUUUACAGUCGCUCGCUUUCAUCACUGUCACAUCGUGUCGAGUCCAUAGAAUC
This 242-nucleotide long non-coding RNA is filed under the name Ananas comosus (pineapple). Its description in RNAcentral is "long non-coding RNA (ACOM_LNC044433)". The record is from RNAcentral. Lineage: Eukaryota; Viridiplantae; Streptophyta; Magnoliopsida; Poales; Bromeliaceae.